GUGGAGGCACACGGGUGACACCAGACACACCCCAAGCACAUUGUUCGGACAUUCAAUCAUGACAUGAUCCAUGUGGAUGCUGUCCAUUGAGGAAAGAGUUUGUUUAGAGGUUUCUGGACAGAAUUAAUUCCAAAGAUGGGAAAAAGUGCACAUCCAUACAAGGAGCAAGCAAAAAUACAAGGAACUUGGUGCAGAGAAAAGCUGUGGCCAUUAACCCCCAUGUGAACAGCUUCAUGCAGUCCCUGAUAGAGUUUGAAUGGGCGACUUCAAACUAAAGGCCAAUGUCUGUCUGCCACAGUUUAAUGCAUUUAUUUUUAGUGUUCAAUGAAAUUCAAAUAGAAUAUUUAAAACUAUGGGCCAGUGUUCUUUUUACCAAAUGUUACCUUUUAGUUGAUGAUGGACUUUUAACUUCAAACUAUGGGCCAGUGUUCUUUUUACCACAGUGAAAUGUUACCUUUUAGUCGAUGAUGGACUUGAAACUGAAAACUUCAAACUAUGGACCAGUGUUCUAUUUGCCAGAGUUAAAUAUGUUACAGCAGGGGCCUCCAAACUUGUUUAUACUUUAUAAUAUUUUAUUUUAUUUUACUUGUUUAUUAUUGUUUAUCUUGUUUUAAAUGAUUGUUUCAAUUACAUGUUUUUUUUUAAAUACAAUUUUUGAUAUAAACAUUGCUUGGAUUGCCUUUUAAUUCAUAAUGUCAUGUCAAGGAUAGCAUUUUUUUUACUAUAUUAAUAACUAUAGAUUUAAACCUAAAUAUCUAGCUAUAAUACAUUAGUGUAUUAACUGUAAUAAGUAAUAAAUAGUAUUUAUGGGUCAAUAUAG
Long non-coding RNA from Paramisgurnus dabryanus, 820 nucleotides. RefSeq lists it as uncharacterized. Lineage: Eukaryota; Metazoa; Chordata; Actinopteri; Cypriniformes; Cobitidae. The record is from RefSeq and is a predicted model, not a curated record.